Molecule: ribosomal RNA, 497 nt
Filed under: uncultured bacterium
Lineage: Bacteria
Description: partial 16S ribosomal RNA
Rfam family: Bacterial small subunit ribosomal RNA
Source: RNAcentral
GAUGAACGCUGGCGGCGUGCCUAAUACAUGCAAGUCGAGCGAACAGAUGAGGAGCUUGCUCCCCUGACGUUAGCGGCGGACGGGUGAGUAACACGUGGAUAACCUACUUAUAAGACUGGGAUAAUUUCGGGAAACCGGAGCCAAUACCGGAUAAUAUAUUGAACCGCAUGGUUCAAUAGUGAAAGACGGUUUUGCUGUCACUUAUAGAUGGAUCCGCGUCGCAUUAGCUAGUUGGUAAGGUAACGGCUUACCAAGGCAACGAUGCGUAGCCGACCUGAGAGGGUGAUCAGCCACACUGGAACUGAGACACGGUCCAGACUCCUACGGGAGGCAGCAGUAGGGAAUCUUCCGCAAUGGGCGAAAGCCUGACGGAGCAACGCCGCGUGAGUGAUGAAGGUCUUCGGAUCGUAAAACUCUGUUAUUAGGGAAGAACAAAUGUGUAAGUAACUAUGCACGUCUUGACGGUACCUAAUCAGAAAGCCACGGCUAACUACGUG